ACGUAGGGCGCAAGCGUUAUCCGGAAUUAUUGGGCGUAAAGAGCUCGUAGGCGGUUUGUCGCGUCUGCUGUGAAAGACCGGGGCUCAACUCCGGUUCUGCAGUGGGUACGGGCAGACUAGAGUGCAGUAGGGGAGACUGGAAUUCCUGGUGUAGCGGUGAAAUGCGCAGAUAUCAGGAGGAACACCGAUGGCGAAGGCAGCUCGCUGGGACGUUACUGACGCUGAGACGCGAAAGCGUGGGGAGCAAGCAGGA
Molecule: ribosomal RNA, 253 nt
Filed under: uncultured prokaryote
Description: partial 16S ribosomal RNA
Rfam family: Bacterial small subunit ribosomal RNA
Source: RNAcentral